GGGCACUUGGUGUAGUUGGUUUAUCACGCCUGCUUAGCAUUCAAUGUUAUCUUGCGGGAGGGGACUGGUUCAAUUCCGAUACUGUCCA
Molecule: non-coding RNA, 88 nt
Organism: Heliocybe sulcata
Lineage: Eukaryota; Fungi; Basidiomycota; Agaricomycetes; Gloeophyllales; Gloeophyllaceae
Source: the annotation of a GenBank genome assembly